GAGUUUGAUCGUGGCUCAGGAUGAACGCUGGCGGCGUGCCUAAUACAUGCAAGUCGAGCGAACGGACGAGAAGCUUGCUUCUCUGAUGUUAGCGGCGGACGGGUGAGUAACACGUGGAUAACCUACCUAUAAGACUGGGAUAACUUCGGGAAACCGGAGCUAAUACCGGAUAAUAUUUUGAACCGCAUGGUUCAAAGGUAAAAGACGGUCUUGCUGUCACUUAUAGAUGGAUCCGCGCUGCAUUAGCUAGUUGGUAAGGUAACGGCUUACCAAGGCAACGAUGCAUAGCCGACCUGAGAGGGUGAUCGGCCACACUGGAACUGAGACGCGGUCCAGACUCCUACGGGAGGCAGCAGUAGGGAAUCUUCCGCAAUGGGCGAAAGCCUGACGGAGCAACGCCGCGUGAGUGAUGAAGGUCUUCGGAUCGUAAAAACUCUGUUAUUAGGAAGAACAUAUGUGUAAGUAACUGUGCACAUCUUGACGGUACCUAAAUCAGAAAGCCACGGCUAACU
RNAcentral lists this ribosomal RNA (512 nucleotides) under uncultured microorganism. RNAcentral describes it as "bacterial SSU rRNA". It matches the Rfam family "Bacterial small subunit ribosomal RNA", at positions 9 to 502 of the family's 1533-position model. The record is from RNAcentral.